This 207-nucleotide unclassified non-coding RNA is filed under the name Hevea brasiliensis (rubber tree). The record is from RNAcentral. Lineage: Eukaryota; Viridiplantae; Streptophyta; Magnoliopsida; Malpighiales; Euphorbiaceae.
GGAGGCGCUUGACAUCCCAUAUGUUGAAGAAGUGGGUCUUAGAAGUGCAUCCUCGAACUUAUGGUUCCGAGUUCCAUUUGCCAGAGAUGACACCUGGCAACAUAUAUGCCUGCGGCUAGGUAGACCUGGAAGUAUGUACUGGGAUGUGAAAAUUAAUGACCAGCACUUCCAGGACUUGUGGGAGCUUCAGAAAGGAAGCAAUAGUAC